GACGAACGCUGGCGGCGUGCUUAACACAUGCAAGUCGAACGGAAAGGCCCUGCUUUUGUGGGGUGCUCGAGUGGCGAACGGGUGAGUAACAAGUGAGUAACCUGCCCUUGACUUUGGGAUAACUUCAGGAAACUGGGGCUAAUAACGGAUAGGAGCUCCUGCUGCAUGGUGGGGGUUGGAAAGUUUCGGCGGUUGGGGAUGGACUCGCGGCUUAUCAGCUUGUUGGUGGGGUAGUGGCUUACCAAGGCUUUGACGGGUAGCCGGCCUGAGAGGGUGACCGGCCACAUUGGGACUGAGAUACGGCCCAGACUCCUACGGGAGGCAGCAGUGGGGAAUAUUGCACAAUGGGCGGAAGCCUGAUGCAGCAACGUCGCGUGCGGGAUGACGGCCUUCGGGUUGUAAACCGCUUUCGCCUGUGACGAAGCGUGAGUGACGGUAAUGUGUAAAGAAGCACCGGCUAACUACGUG
RNAcentral lists this ribosomal RNA (468 nucleotides) under uncultured bacterium. Its description in RNAcentral is "partial 16S ribosomal RNA". It matches the Rfam family "Bacterial small subunit ribosomal RNA", at positions 28 to 507 of the family's 1533-position model. The record is from RNAcentral.